UUUUUCCAACGAUGAAACCAUCUCCUCGAUGAAGAACGCAGCUAGCUGCGAGAAUUAAUGUGAAUUGCAGGACACAUUGAUCAUCGACACUUCGAACGCACUUGCGGCCCCGGGUUCCUCCCGGGGCUACGCCUGUCUGAGCGUCG
Molecule: ribosomal RNA, 146 nt
Filed under: Erinaceus europaeus (western European hedgehog)
Lineage: Eukaryota; Metazoa; Chordata; Mammalia; Eulipotyphla; Erinaceidae
Description: 5.8S ribosomal RNA (ENSEEUG00000016288.1)
Rfam family: 5.8S ribosomal RNA (bases 26-146)
About the family: 5.8S ribosomal RNA (5.8S rRNA) is a component of the large subunit of the eukaryotic ribosome. It is transcribed by RNA polymerase I as part of the 45S precursor that also contains 18S and 28S rRNA. Functionally, it is thought that 5.8S rRNA may be involved in ribosome translocation.
Source: RNAcentral